RNAcentral lists this ribosomal RNA (253 nucleotides) under uncultured prokaryote. RNAcentral describes it as "partial 16S ribosomal RNA". It matches the Rfam family "Bacterial small subunit ribosomal RNA", at positions 525 to 777 of the family's 1533-position model. The record is from RNAcentral.
ACAGAGGGGGCAAGCGUUGUUCGGAAUUACUGGGCGUAAAGGGCGCGUAGGCGGCCUGCUAAGUCGAACGUGAAAUCCCCGGGCUCAACCCGGGAACUGCGUCCGAGACUGGCGGGCUCGAAUUCGGGAGAGGGAUGCGGAAUUCCAGGUGUAGCGGUGAAAUGCGUAGAUAUCCGGAGGAACACCGGUGGCGAAGGCGGCUUCCUGGGCCGACACUGACGCUGAGGCGCGAAAGCGUGGGGAGCAAACAGGA